UCCCCUGCAGUCCAUACAUCCCCAGCCGUGCACCUUCUCAUCCUCCCCUUCAGAUAACACUUAUCUUAUCUGUGAGGUCCUUCUCCUUCUGUAGACCUGCAUCCUUAGAAUACAGAGCAGGGGGGAGGGGAGGUAAGGAGCUGUGUACUCAGCUGGAUGAGAUGAGGGGGCGUGGCUUAUUCCUCUCAUGUCGACAGAGAAAAAAAAAGCUGUGACAUCUCGUCAACAACAGACUCAGAACUGUGGACAACAGUAAAAGAAAACACGCGGAACUACAGAACUUCCUGUACAAACAGCUGACCAAUGACAGACUUAUUGUCCAAAAAGAAGUUGGGCAUUUUCGAUCGAAAGCCUGAUGAAGUAGUGCAAACCACGAAGCACGGGGGUCCCAUGGUACCAUGUCUGCUCCAGGCUGGCAGAAGUCCAAACUCAGGAAAUGUGUGCCGGUCAUGGCAAGGCACAGGUCUCGCAGGCUUCAGUGAUGUUGCACCUGCUGGGGAACACCCACUUUCUCCUGCCGGGAGAUCACAUAAUAUGAGCACUGGGGAAAGGGAAUUUAAGGAAACUGUGUAAGGGAAAUACUGACCAGUCAUCUCUGUGAAACCAUCAAUGAUCUGUAUGGAUCGAAGAUUGCCUGAAAGAUUUGUUAAAGUAGGGUUUCCAAAAAUGUCAUGUUUUUUCCAUC
This is a long non-coding RNA of Hyla sarda, 685 nucleotides long. RefSeq lists it as uncharacterized. The record is from RefSeq and is a predicted model, not a curated record. The transcript is spliced from 4 exons. NCBI's taxonomy places the organism in Eukaryota, Metazoa, Chordata, Amphibia, Anura, Hylidae.